Molecule: ribosomal RNA, 253 nt
Filed under: uncultured bacterium
Lineage: Bacteria
Description: partial 16S ribosomal RNA
Rfam family: Bacterial small subunit ribosomal RNA
Source: RNAcentral
UACAGAGGGGGCUAGCGUUGUUCGGAAUUACUGGGCGUAAAGGGCGCGUAGGCGGCCUGCUAAGUCGAACGUGAAAUCCCUGGGCUCAACCCAGGAACUGCGUCCGAUACUGGUUGGCUUGAAUCCGGGAGAGGGAUGUGGAAUUCCAGGUGUAGCGGUGAAAUGCGUAGAUAUUGGGAGGAACACCAGUGGCGAAGGCGGCUCACUGGACCGGAACUGACGCUGAGGCGCGAAAGCGUGGGGAGCAAACAGG